AUCAUGAGUUCACAUGUCCGCAUGAUUAAAGGUAUUUUCCGGUAGACGAUGGGGAUGCGUUCCAUUAGAUAGUGGGCGGGGUAACGGCCCACCUAGUCAACGAUGGAUAGGGGUUCUGAGAGGAAGGUCCCCCACAUUGGAACUGAGACACGGUCCAAACUCCUACGGGAGGCAGCAGUGAGGAAUAUUGGUCAAUGGGCGAUGGCCUGAACCAGCCAAGUAGCGUGAAGGAUGACUGCCCUAUGGGUUGUAAACUUCUUUUAUAAAGGAAUAAAGUCGGGUAUGCAUACCCGUUUGCAUGUACUUUAUGAAUAAGGAUCGGCUAACUCCGUGCCAGCAGCCGCGGUAAUACGGAGGAUCCGAGCGUUAUCCGGAUUUAUUGGGUUUAAAGGGAGCGUAGAUGGAUGUUUAAGUCAGUUGUGAAAGUUUGCGGCUCAACUGUAAAAUUGCAGUUGAUACUGGAUGUCUUGAGUGCAGUUGAGGCAGGCGGAAUUCGUGGUGUAGCGGUGAAAUGCUUAGAUAUCACGAAGAACUCCGAUUG
This 541-nucleotide ribosomal RNA is filed under the name uncultured bacterium. RNAcentral's name for it is "bacterial SSU rRNA". It matches the Rfam family "Bacterial small subunit ribosomal RNA", at positions 173 to 715 of the family's 1533-position model. The record is from RNAcentral.